Molecule: small RNA, 79 nt
Filed under: Klebsiella pneumoniae
Lineage: Bacteria; Pseudomonadati; Pseudomonadota; Gammaproteobacteria; Enterobacterales; Enterobacteriaceae
Also listed under: 1 other name
Description: partial RtT sRNA
Rfam family: RtT RNA
About the family: This family represents a bacterial cis-regulatory element known as RtT RNA. The exact function of RtT is unknown although it is thought that it may be involved in changing the cellular response in relation to amino acid starvation.
Source: RNAcentral
GAAGCGAGAGAACGUUGCCGCAGGCAACGGCCCGAAGGGCGAGGCGCUUUAGCGCCGAGUAAUCCUUCCCCCACCACUG